UACGGAGGGGGUUAGCGUUGUUCGGAAUUACUGGGCGUAAAGCGCGCGUAGGCGGACCAGAAAGUUGGGGGUGAAAUCCCGGGGCUCAACCCCGGAACGGCCUCCAAAACUCCUGGUCUUGAGUUCGAGAGAGGUGAGUGGAAUUCCGAGUGUAGAGGUGAAAUUCGUAGAUAUUCGGAGGAGCACCAGUGGCGAAGGCGGCUCACUGGCUCGAUACUGACGCUGAGGUGCGAAAGUGUGGGGAGCAAACAGC
RNAcentral lists this ribosomal RNA (253 nucleotides) under uncultured bacterium. RNAcentral describes it as "partial 16S ribosomal RNA". It matches the Rfam family "Bacterial small subunit ribosomal RNA", at positions 524 to 776 of the family's 1533-position model. The record is from RNAcentral.